RNAcentral lists this ribosomal RNA (494 nucleotides) under uncultured bacterium. Its description in RNAcentral is "partial 16S ribosomal RNA". It matches the Rfam family "Bacterial small subunit ribosomal RNA", at positions 28 to 507 of the family's 1533-position model. The record is from RNAcentral.
GACGAACGCUGGCGGCGUGCUUAACACAUGCAAGUCGAACGGUGAAGCGCCUUCCUUUUUGGUGGGUGUGGAUGAGUGGCGAACGGGUGAGUAACACGUGAGUAACCUGCCCCCUUCUUCUGGAUAACCGCAUGAAAGUGUGGCUAAUACGGGAUAUUCUGGGUCUGUCGCAUGAUGGGUCUGGGAAAGAUAUUGUUUCGGUGGGGGAUGGGCUCGCGGCCUAUCAGCUUGUUGGUGGGGUGAUGGCCUACCAAGGCGGUGACGGGUAGCCGGCCUGAGAGGGUGGACGGUCACACUGGGACUGAGACACGGCCCAGGCUCCUACGGGAGGCAGCAGUGGGGAAUAUUGCACAAUGGGCGCAAGCCUGAUGCAGCGACGCCGCGUGAGGGAUGGAGGCCUUCGGGUUGUGAACCUCUUUCGCCAGUGAAGCAGGCCUGCCUCGUUUGUGGGUGGGUUGACGGUAGCUGGAGAAGAAGCGCCGGCUAACUACGUG